This 462-nucleotide ribosomal RNA is filed under the name uncultured bacterium. RNAcentral describes it as "partial 16S ribosomal RNA". It matches the Rfam family "Bacterial small subunit ribosomal RNA", at positions 28 to 506 of the family's 1533-position model. The record is from RNAcentral.
GAUGAACGCUGACAGAAUGCUUAACACAUGCAAGUCUUUGGCGAAGCUGUGCUCGCACAGCCUAGCCAAGGCGGACGGGUGAGUAACGCGUAAGGAACUUGCCCUGCAGUCAGGGAUAACAGACGGAAACGACUGAUAAGACCUGGUAAAGUCAGGCGGACUCAUGUCCAGCCUGAUGAAAAGAGAUGCUGCAGGAGAGCCUUGCGUCCUAUUAGCUUGUUGGUGGGGUAACGGCCCACCAAGGCGAUGAUAGGUAGCCGGCCUGAGAGGGUGGACGGCCACAAGGGGACUGAGAUACGGCCCUUACUCCUACGGGAGGCAGCAGUGGGGAAUAUUGGACAAUGGGGGCAACCCUGAUCCAGCAAUGCUGUGUGCACGAUGAAGGUUUUCGGAUUGUAAAGUGCUUUCAGCAGGGAAGAAAAAAAUGACGGUACCUGCAGAAGAAGCGACGGCUAAAUACGU